UACAGAGGGUGCAAGCGUUGUUCGGAUUUACUGGGCGUAAAGGGCGCGUAGGCGGCGCAACAAGUCACUUGUGAAAUCUCCGGGCUUAACCCGGAGCGGUCAAGUGAUACUGUCGUGCUAGAGUGCGGAAGGGGCUACUGGAAUUCUCGGUGUAGCGGUGAAAUGCGUAGAUAUCGAGAGGAACACCUGCGGCGAAGGCGGGUAGCUGGGCCGACACUGACGCUGAUGCGCGAAAGCCAGGGGAGCGAACGGG
This 253-nucleotide ribosomal RNA is filed under the name uncultured bacterium. RNAcentral describes it as "partial 16S ribosomal RNA". It matches the Rfam family "Bacterial small subunit ribosomal RNA", at positions 524 to 776 of the family's 1533-position model. The record is from RNAcentral.